AUCCUGCCUCAGACUGAGCCCAGAGUUAACCAGAACGGCUGUUUCCACCAUCUUAGAUUGUAUUGAUUAUUCUUUGCUUUAACGUCUGUCUCCCUCACACACACGCUACCUCUCUUUCUCUCCCUUUCUGUCCCUCCCUCCCCUCUUUCUGCCUCUAUUCUGCCACCUUCUCCACUCGCCGAUCAGCAUUUGGCUUUUCCAUUUGUGGCAGAUUACUGUAACGCUAUUGUACAACAACUUCCUGCCUCUUUUGGCUCUGGUUCUUUUAAAAACUGCAAAGGCAGAGCAUCGUGACUUCAACUUUUUCCUUCCUCGGCCUUGAACUGAAGGAGCUCUAUAAGGAAAGAAAAGGAGGAAGGGGAUAUGUAAAGUGUGUUUUCAGUAACUGAGGAACUAUUUGAAUGCAUUUCUGCUUUAUAAAGCUUUAAGAGGGGACUACAUGCCUAGCAGAGACAAUGAGAGAAAAAAAGGAUUCUCAAAGAGGACGAGGAGGAAAAGAGCAGAGGAGAGUUUCUCCUGGGAUCAGACUGGAAAUUAUGGACCUAUUCGAUAUCAGAGCUCAGAGUGGACAACCUAUCCAAAGAGGGACGCGCCCUAACUGUAACUAACAACUACUUCUGGCAGCCCUUCAACAGCCAAACAUAUUGUACUGGAGCAGUGCAGCUUUCAUAUGGCUGCAUCGAACCAAAGCAGCUCCGGCACCAAAUUCACAUCAAACUACAGGAGGAAUAAUAUCAUGUUAAUAAUUAUGUACUUUAAGUAUAUUAAUGUGUUUUUUAAUGUGAAGCGGAUGGAGCUGGAACUUUGAUCCUUACUAUGUUCACAGGAAACUUUACACACAUCAAAGUGAUGCAGAUAGAAAGAAAACUAUGAUUUUCACAACUUGGGAUGAUCCUAAGAGUCACUGCAGCUAUUUCUUUAUUUAUAUAAUAUUAUAUUAUGUUACAUAAAUAAUAAAACAGACUUUUUUCUGUUCCGUAUUACUGUAAAAGCAAACUUAGACCCUGAUAUAAAGAGUUCUCCUCACUGUGUGCUUGUUUUUCAUGACAAAAAGGUAUACGCAGAAAUAUGAGUAUGAAAUGUUGCAUGCUGCUGUAAUUAAAAUGUACAAUAAUUUUGUGUAUAUGUUAAUUAUAGGGCUACUUUAAGAGUUAUUUAUUUUUAUAUAAUUUUAGACUUCACAAGAGGAAUUUCAAUGAAUAAAAAACGUAUAUGAUUUGAGAGGUAGAGAUAGUGUGUACUAACUGUUACGACUGAAGUUCACUGUAAAAAUACUCAUCUGACGCAUUAUGUCAAAAAAGUACACGAGCAAAUUCUCAAAAGUCAAUGAUGCAUCAUAAUGAAAAAAGUAAAUACUGCUCCUCUGUCCACCUGACCGGCCUGCACCACGCCUCACAUACCCAAACUCUCUCUCUUUGCAGUUUUACCCCGAGCCUUUCUUCUUCUUCUUCUUCUUCUUCUUCUUCUUCAUUUUGUUUUAGUCUUCCUCCGCACUAAGCCAGGAGUGCGCAGGCCUGGCAUUUCAGGGGCCACGUCACAUCGCCUGUGUCUGCGCUGCAGGGCUGCAAGGUGUCCAACAGCCGAGCAACACACACCCUACUUCUGCUGCUUCGACAAACACUGUGUGUGUGUGUGUGUGUGUGUGUGUGUGUGUGUGUGUGUGUGUGUGUGUGUGUUUGUGUGUGUGCUGUUUGUUUUAAUCUCACAUUCUCUUUAGCCUCCUAGCUCUGUUGAGACAGACAGGACAUGCAGCUAAUAUUCAUUUCAUGAACAUACUCUCCUUUCUGAUGGUGCGUUUCACCAACAUGCAGCGUUUUAACCUCCAGCCUGAGAUCACCUCACUCUUCACACUUUUCCUCUCCUCUGAAUCACACAGUGGAGUUAGCUCAGUCAAAAAGCACAUCGACGCUCAUCUGGAAAUAAAGAUUUGGACCCUUUACACUGUAAAAUAUGUAAUCUGCAUUUACAAUUAACAAAGAUGAAACCCAUUUUUAUUUUUCUUACACUCACAAACUGUAGUGAUGUGCACAAUUCUUCCAACAGAAGAAUAUCUAUGCCGGAGAAAAGCCACAUUUCAUUGGACAGCUGCUUGAUCAUAAACUUUAUUACUCUGUGGGAUGUUCCUGCGUAUUCGGUGCCUUUUGAAAUCCCAACCGAAAUGUAUUUUUAAAAGACAUGCCUAAAAUUUCAGAGAUAAAAAAUGUAGUAGCAUCAAAGCACAUGGCACAGUUUGUGUCAUUAUACUAUAUUUAAUAAUGUUUUCUCAGUACAUGCUCAUUCACAUUUUUAGAUAAUGUAGGAAUUCAAAGAAAUGAUCAUCAGAGGACUGGAACAACGUACAAGUCCUUUGUUCAGUGAACAGCAUUACAUCCUGCUUUUUUAACCAAAUAACUGGCUGCACUCCUUUCAGUAGUCCAAUCACUUCCUGUACGGUGACAUGUUGAAUUCCUCUGUGUUGUGUUUGCACGAAUCGGAUGAUGCAGAGUCGUGAGUGGAUAGCCACGUUGUACAAAAGAGGUCAUUCUGCAGAAAACGGUUGAUUUCGGAUGUGUGUGUUUAUGGAUGUUUCUGUGUGUGCAGAAGUUUUACAGUGCAGUCUUUUGUCCCUGAAGAAUAAUCGAGAUGUGACGCAAAAAAAUCAUUUAAAUUCUCUUCUGUUUUACAAAUGCUAAUGUGCAAUAAGAUGUCUUUUAUAAUAUUAAGACAUUUAAGCUGCAUUUAAUGUGCAGCAUAUGAUAAAAAUGAUGUUUAUUAUUAUCAAUACUGCUGUCAUAAGAUGCCUCGUUCAUUAUUACUAUCACAGCUACACACAAAUAAAGGUGGAGCAUACAGAUCCCUGGUGCUAAAAUUAAA
Long non-coding RNA from Notolabrus celidotus (New Zealand spotty), 2853 nucleotides. RefSeq lists it as uncharacterized. The transcript is spliced from 2 exons. Lineage: Eukaryota; Metazoa; Chordata; Actinopteri; Labriformes; Labridae. The record is from RefSeq and is a predicted model, not a curated record.